This is a long non-coding RNA of Myripristis murdjan (pinecone soldierfish), 721 nucleotides long. RefSeq lists it as uncharacterized. Lineage: Eukaryota; Metazoa; Chordata; Actinopteri; Holocentriformes; Holocentridae. The transcript is spliced from 8 exons. The record is from RefSeq and is a predicted model, not a curated record.
UGGGCGGAAACUGUUUCUGUCUUUAGCUAAUGGCGGCGAGAGAUGUGUUUGCUGGGGGAUCGCUGUGUCUUCCACUAUCUGUAUUUCUCUGGAGAGCAUCGAGGGAUCACUACAGAAUGGCAAGACCAGCUGAGGGCAUUUGGUCAAAGGCAAGUCAAGUGGGAUGAUGGGUGAUACGAUUAAGCCAGGACCACCCUUACAAUUUCCUCCCAGUGAAGACUCCUUCAAAGCAAGCAGUGCUGUGGUUUGCAUAUGUAUGCAGUAAUGCCAGUCUAAGCCCAGUGUCGGAGUACAAUGAAUGAACCAGGUUGAGUGAAGAUGGUGUACCUAGUGGAUGAUCCAUGAGCCACGGUCAGUCAGCAGCUGUCUGUAACUGAUGCAGCAGCCUAUCACUGAAGUGGAACUACAAGUCUGGGCGAGAAUGAAAGUCAAGUCAUUGUACAUGAAGAAUUUGAAAAUUGAUUUCUCUGUGACAGAAGCAAUCACUAGGCUGUAAUUAUACUCAAUCUGUUUACUGAACAAGGUUGAAUAACCCAUUAAAUUGAUACUUGCCUCAGAAAAGCCAAGAUAGGAUUGCAAUUUAUUCAUUCCUGGUGCCUUGUGGUUUUAAAGGGUUUUAUCAUGAAUUGUAACUAGUGUAUUGUUUGUGAUAACAUAAUCUGUCAUUACUGCAGCUUUGUUUAUGGUAUGACCUUUUCAAAUAAAAGGUGAUGGAAAAGCA